Molecule: unclassified non-coding RNA, 240 nt
Filed under: soil metagenome
Description: partial contains 5.8S ribosomal RNA, internal transcribed spacer 2, and large subunit ribosomal RNA
Source: RNAcentral
AACGAGGCCGACCUGCGGCUGAGUUACCUGCGGAGGGAUCAUUACACAAUACAAUAUGAAGGCUGUCCGCAGCUGGAGUAUUUUAUUACCCUUGUCUUUUGCGCACUUGUUGUUUCCUGGGCGGGUUCGCUCGCCACCAGGACCACCAAAUAAACCUUUUUUAUGCAGUUGCAAUCAGCGUCAGUACAAACAAUGUAAAUCAUUUACAACUUUUAGCAAUGGAUCUCAGAUCGGAAGAGC